Molecule: ribosomal RNA, 478 nt
Filed under: uncultured Gammaproteobacteria bacterium
Lineage: Bacteria; Pseudomonadati; Pseudomonadota; Gammaproteobacteria
Description: bacterial SSU rRNA
Rfam family: Bacterial small subunit ribosomal RNA
Source: RNAcentral
GAGUUUGAUCUUGGCUCAGAUUGAACGCUGGCGGCAGGCCUAACACAUGCAAGUCGAGCGGAUGAGAGGAGCUUGCUCCUUGAUUCAGCGGCGGACGGGUGAGUAAUGCCUAGGAAUCUGCCUGAUAGUGGGGGACGACGUUUCGAAAGGAACGCUAAUACCGCAUACGUCCUACGGGAGAAAGCAGGGGACCUUCGGGCCUUGCGCUAUCAGAUGAGCCUAGGUCGGAUUAGCUAGUAGGUGGGGUAAUGGCUCACCUAGGCGACGAUCCGUAACUGGUCUGAGAGGAUGAUCAGUCACACUGGAACUGAGACACGGUCCAGACUCCUACGGGAGGCAGCAGUGGGGAAUAUUGGACAAUGGGCGAAAGCCUGAUCCAGCCAUGCCGCGUGUGUGAAGAAGGUCUUCGGAUUGUAAAGCACUUUAAGUUGGGAGGAGGGGCUGCAAGUUAAUACCUUGUAGUUUUGACGUUACCAAC